RNAcentral lists this ribosomal RNA (492 nucleotides) under uncultured bacterium. RNAcentral describes it as "partial 16S ribosomal RNA". It matches the Rfam family "Bacterial small subunit ribosomal RNA", at positions 29 to 507 of the family's 1533-position model. The record is from RNAcentral.
AGUGAACGCUGGCGGUAGGCCUAACACAUGCCAGUCGAACGGCAGCACAGUAAGAGCUUGCUCUUACGGGUGGCGAGUGGCGGACGGGUGAGGAAUACAUCGGAAUCUACUUUUUCGUGGGGGAUAACGUAGGGAAACUUACGCUAAUACUGCAUACGACCUACGGGUGAAAGCAGGGGAUCUUCGGACCUUGCGCGAUUGAAUGAGCCGAUGUCGGAUUAGCUAGUUGGCGGGGUAAAGGCCCACCAAGGCGACGAUCCGUAGCUGGUCUGAGAGGAUGAUCAGCCACACUGGAACUGAGACACGGUCCAGACUCCUACGGGAGGCAGCAGUGGGGAAUAUUGGACAAUGGGCGCAAGCCUGAUCCAGCCAUACCGCGUGGGUGAAGAAGGCCUUCGGGUUGUAAAGCCCUUUUGUUGGGAAAGAAAAGCAGCAGGUUAAUACCCCGCUGUUCUGACGGUACCCAAAGAAUAAGCAUCGGCUAACUUCGUG